UAUAAUGUGAUAAUUUAUUGCUAUAACAUAAAAAUGUUCAUGUUGUGAUCUGAGGUUUGUUUUUCAUAGUAUCUGUAAAAGAUCUGAUAUGAAACAUUUAUUGUCAUAACAAAACUUUUCACAUUUUAUCAUGAUGCUGUUAUAAUACUUCUUGUAACAUGAUGAGUCUGUAUUUCAUAAUAACUGUGGAAGUAAUGGCACUGAUCCAUUUUUUUCUUUUUCUGGAGUGGCAAUAGGCUUCUUGUUUGUUUUUUGUAUUAAAUGAGGGUGUGACUUACAUAUCCUGUUAAUAGGUAUUUUCUCCUUGUGUGAUUGACUGUUAAACAUUUGAAACCAUGUCAGCUGAUCCCCACGAUGACAAACCACAGACCCACUGUCACCAUGUCAAUGUGGAUCUGCUGUGUAGACAUGUUCAUUUCACUCCCCCAUUAAUCCCAGCACAUGAAGGUUCUCUGUGGGAAAAGAGGAAAACUAUUUUGGCAUGUUCCACUGCUCCACAUACGCUGACCCUUUGCUGAACCAUCCACCAUUUGAUCUUCACUGCAGGCAGCGCAGCACAGCCGUGCGCGGUGCACCGCAGCUUAUAGCUGAGACACACAGAAGUCCAGCAACUCACAGACUGCAGGUGAUGCUUUCAUGUCAAGCGAGAAGAAUCAAUUGGGAGGCAGAAGCCUGUCUCUUCGAGUUUCUCCAGUGUUUUGCCCGUCGGCUACUCGUAGGCAGGCUUUCGUCUGGGAAACUCUGGGCUUCGCUUAAUGAGACUGACCGGCGUGUCAAGCUGUUCUGCUCGCUCUUUGGAGAAUAUGGGGGUGUACGUGUGGCGGCAGCACCAACACAGAUAAGACUGGCUAACUGUGUGGGAGAGCUGACCAGUUAUCCAGCCUCCACAAAGGGCCCCUGUUUAAUCUGCUCCACACAUUAAAGCCACAGCACCUCAAAGCAGGCAUGUGCUAACAGCUGUGGACAUGUCUCCAUCUCUCUCCUCUGAAGUGACGCAGCACAGCGGUGUCCGGGGCCGUGUAGCGGAGAGGCUAGAGGAUGAAGACUUGGAGGCUGCCCGCCAUGAAUGAGUCAAUCUCACACUGGGGUUAUGACAAUCCAGAGGGCCCUCAAAACCCAACACAGCCCUGCGAGCGCGCACAAAGGGCUUUUCUCCACCAUUAAAGGCGUCACACUGGCCCGUCAACGCUUUGAAAUGCUGAUAUUGUUUUCCACAGGAUUUUCAUCAUGCUUUCAACAUGAAAUCCCCAGAGGCGAUAAUAAAAAGAGAUCAAAUAAAUGUGACAAAUGGCUUAAUAUUUAAUCGCUGUUGAUCAUUAAACAAUUUAAAUAAAGGCUGAUAACAAUCGGAGCUCUUGCUUUCAAAACACUGUGGCACCAACCACAGAUACAUCAGGAUUUAUUUAUCUGUGACUUAAUUAACUGUGGAUGGCUGAGAGGCAGCGCGCUGCUGCGCGGAGGUCCGGUUCAGUAGGCCUGCAAAAGCACAGUGUGUGGAAAAGUGCCAUUAAUGGCAUCUAUCAUCAGCUGCUAAUUAUGCUGCCUGUGGGCCCCGACUGGAUCCAGUUUCAGCUUUUGGGCUCCAGCCACCAAACACUUAGCAUUCAUAUUUAAUCACACCUCAUUAUCCACCAACAAUGUAGGAAGGAGACAGAGACCUUACCUGAUAUGCCAGACAGACACGGUCAACGUACAGACAGAAAAGAAAAAAAUCUCAUAUGCACACACACACACACACUGUCACCUGCAAAGACAAACACCAGCAACACAUAAGCCCUCCCCUGCUUGAGUUUUCUGCUCUUGAAGUGCAUCAGGCUCUUUGAUGAGAGGUACUGCCCCCCAAUUCUGUGCUUUCUCAGCAAGUUGGUGCUUUCAUGUGAGAUCCUUUUCUGCCCUGCGCUUUCUGGUUCAAAGAGCAGCAAAAGCAAAUGGCAGCUAAUCCUUUAUCCUCACAACAACUGCUGGCCUGUUGCCGGGUUAUCAGCUUAGAAUCAUUGUGAUGUCACACUCUUCAGGUGUAGGCAGUCUGAUGUUGGACAUCAAAUAUGACUUUGGUCUGCUCGGGGCCACCUGCCCUUCAUAGUGUAACCGAAUACACUGAGUCAUGCUCUACACUCAUAUCAUGCAGCGGAGACAGUUUCACGAUAAGCAGUCCGCGUCAAGUGUUUCUUUUGGAUCGGGCUGUGUGUUUGUGCUCCCCUGUCUCCCAGGAGUGCUUUAUUUGCACAAGUGAAAAAAGGUUGUCAGUGCGAGUUCGCGGCCAAGUUACUUUCUAGGACUCCAGCCAGCUGAAACGGGAGAUGCUCCUGAAAAAUGCAGGAGCUAUUAAACAAAAAACAGCGCGCUAUCGUCUUUCUUCAAGCUGUGAAUCAACACAUAAAUCCAGUCCCCUCAUGUCUGGUGUCUCUCUUAUGAAUCUGGGAGUGAAAAUUAAGAUAGCUGAUUAUCAUCAACCCACACAGACAGACCACAAUUGGGUCACCAACUGAAACUAAACACUGUAUACAUAUAAACUAUGAGGCAACAACUUCAA
Acanthopagrus latus (yellowfin seabream) is the source of this 2533-nucleotide long non-coding RNA. RefSeq lists it as uncharacterized. The record is from RefSeq and is a predicted model, not a curated record. Lineage: Eukaryota; Metazoa; Chordata; Actinopteri; Spariformes; Sparidae. The transcript has 2 exons.